RNAcentral lists this small RNA (104 nucleotides) under Epilithonimonas xixisoli. RNAcentral describes it as "Chryseobacterium xixisoli Flavo-1 RNA". The record is from RNAcentral. Lineage: Bacteria; Pseudomonadati; Bacteroidota; Flavobacteriia; Flavobacteriales; Weeksellaceae.
UCUGCGCCCCGGCCUGAACGGAAAUCCUUUUUUGCUUUGACUUAAUGUCUAUUUAAUGGCAACUUGACUGCAAAAAAGAUUGGGAGUGGAGGACGGAUAGAGGC